Molecule: long non-coding RNA, 608 nt
Organism: Oreochromis niloticus (Nile tilapia)
Lineage: Eukaryota; Metazoa; Chordata; Actinopteri; Cichliformes; Cichlidae
Exons: 3
Source: RefSeq, a predicted model, not a curated record
AACACUCCAUCUUGAUUUCUAAGUUAAGUACUUAUGGUGUGAGAGGAAUAGUAUUGAACUGGUUAAGCAGUUAUUUAGAUAAUAGGUUUCAGUAUGUGCAGUAUUUAGGCAGUUUAUCUGAUAGAAUGGAAAUAUAAUGUGGGGUCCCUCAAGGUUCUGUUUUAGGACCAAAACUUUUUAAUUUAUAUAUAAACGACAUUUUUGAUCAUUAGGAGUUGGUGGCGUUUCUCUGGUGUGGUGUCAUGGGGUUUGCUUCUGUUUUCAGCACAGGUAGGCGGGGCCGUGUGUCACGGGAUGUUGGCACACCGGGGUACAUCAGACGUCAUUUGAUGGAGGGUUAUUUAGGAGCAGCACGACAGACGUCUGGUGUCGGAGUAUUGCCACCUCCUCGAGUGCCGGAUCCAUCACCCGCUUGCCUGUCAGCUGUUCGUGAAGCCGCAUUUCUGGGAUCACUACAGAGAUCAAUCUCAGCUUUUCUCUCACAUCCCAUCCACCCUGCGUGUGCGGGUUACCCCUUUCCCUCUGAAUGCAUGUCAGCCCCCUUCCCUGGUUUCCCUCUGUUUAUUUAUGAGCGUACAUAUUCCAUCCUGUUUAAAUAAGUUUGACAC